RNAcentral lists this unclassified non-coding RNA (246 nucleotides) under uncultured fungus. Its description in RNAcentral is "sequence contains ITS1, 5.8S rRNA gene". The stretch from base 198 to 246 matches the Rfam family "5.8S ribosomal RNA", at positions 1 to 49 of the family's 154-position model. Lineage: Eukaryota; Fungi. The record is from RNAcentral.
UCUCCGUUGGUGAACCAGCGGAGGGAUCAUUACAGAGUUAUCUAACUCCCAAACCCAUGUGAACUUACCAUUUGUUGCCUCGGCAGAGCCUACCCGGUACCGACCCCUUUUGGGCGAAGUUACCCUGUAGCCCGCCGGUGGAUAUUCAAAACUCGUUAUUUUUAAUGUUAUCUGAGCGUCUUAUUUUAAUAAGUCAAAACUUUCAACAACGGAUCUCUUGGUUCUGGCAUCGAUGAAGAACGCAGC